RNAcentral lists this ribosomal RNA (483 nucleotides) under uncultured bacterium. RNAcentral's name for it is "partial 16S ribosomal RNA". It matches the Rfam family "Bacterial small subunit ribosomal RNA", at positions 29 to 506 of the family's 1533-position model. The record is from RNAcentral.
AUUGAACGCUAGCGGGAUGCUUUACACAUGCAAGUCGAACGGCAGCGCGGACUUCGGUCUGGCGGCGAGUGGCGAACGGGUGAGUAAUGUAACGGAACGUGCCCAGUAGCGGGGGAUAACUACGCGAAAGCGUAGCUAAUACCGCAUAAGCCCUACGGGGGAAAUCAGGGGAUCGUAAGACCUUGCACUAUUGGAGCGGCCGAUCACGGAUUUGGUAGUUGGUGAGGUAACGGCUCACCAAGGCGACGAUCCGUAGCUGGUUUGAGAGGAUAAGCAGCCAGCCUGGGACUGAGGAAGGGCACAGGCUCAUUGGGGAGGCAGCAGUGGGGAAUCUUGGGGAAGGGGUGGAGCACAGUGGCAGACAGCGCGCGUGUGGGAUGAGGGCCUUCGUGUUGUAAAGCACGUUUGGCGGGAAAGAAAGUGCGCGGGCUAAUACACCGUGGAACGGAGGGUACCGGCAGAGUAGGCACCGGCUAACUACGU